RNAcentral lists this ribosomal RNA (1495 nucleotides) under Clostridia bacterium S110(17)-1. RNAcentral's name for it is "partial 16S ribosomal RNA". It matches the Rfam family "Bacterial small subunit ribosomal RNA". Lineage: Bacteria; Bacillati; Bacillota; Clostridia. The record is from RNAcentral.
AGAGUUUGAUCAUGGCUCAGGACGAACGCUGGCGGCGUGCCUAAUACAUGCAAGUCGAACGGUCUUUUCUAUGGAAGCUUGCUUCCGCUGAAAAGAUAGUGGCGAACGGGUGAGUAGCACGUGGGUAACCUGCCCAUAAGAGGGGGAUAACAUCCGGAAACGGGUGCUAAUACCGCAUAGUUUUCUUGAUCGCAUGAUUGAGAAAGGAAAGACGGCCUUUGUGCUGUCGCUUAUGGAUGGACCCGCGGCGUAUUAGUUAGUUGGUGAGGUAACGGCUCACCAAGGCGACGAUGGGUAGCCGACCUGAGGGGGUGAUCGGCCACACUGGAACUGAGACACGGUCCAGACUCCUACGGGAGGCAGCAGUGGGGAAUAUUGCACAAUGGGCGAAAGCCUGAUGCAGCAACGCCGCGUGAGCGAUGAAGGCCUUCGGGUCGUAAAGCUCUGUCCUAAGGGAAGAUAAUGACGGUACCUUAGGAGGAAGCCCCGGCUAACUACGUGCCAGCAGCCGCGGUAAUACGUAGGGGGCAAGCGUUAUCCGGAAUCACUGGGCGUAAAGGGUGCGUAGGCGGCUGAUAAAGUCCGAGGUGAAAGGCUACGGCUUAACCGUAGUAAGCCUUGGAAACUUAUCGGCUUGAGUACAGGAGAGGAAAGUGGAAUUCCUAGUGUAGCGGUGAAAUGCGUAGAUAUUAGGAGGAACACCAGUGGCGAAGGCGACUUUCUGGACUAUUACUGACGGUGAGGCACGAAAGCGUGGGGAGCGAACAGGAUUAGAUACCCUGGUAGUCCACGCCGUAAACGAUGGGUACUAAGUGUCGGAGGCUUGACCUUCGGUGCUGUAGUUAACGCGUUAAGUACCCCGCCUGGGGAGUACGGUCGCAAGGCUGAAACUCAAAGAAAUUGACGGGGGCCCGCACAAGCGGUGGAGUAUGUGGUUUAAUUCGAUGCAACGCGAAGAACCUUACCCAGGCUUGACAUCCUGCGAAUGCCCAAGAAAUUAGGCAGUGCCCUUCGGGGAAUGCAGUGACAGGUGCUGCAUGGCUGUCGUCAGCUCGUGCCGUGAGGUGUUGGGUUAAGUCCCGCAACGAGCGCAACCCCUAUCCUUAGUUGCCACCAGGUAAUGCUGAGCACUCUAGGGAGACUGCCCGGGUUAACCGGGAGGAAGGUGGGGACGACGUCAAGUCAUCAUGGCCCUUACGCCUGGGGCUACACACGUACUACAAUGGUGCAUACAAAGGGUUGCGAUACCGUGAGGUGGAGCUAAUCCCAUAAAGUGCAUCCCAGUCCGGAUAGGAGUCUGCAACUCGACUCCUUGAAGUCGGAAUCGCUAGUAAUCCCGGAUCAGCAUGCCGGGGUGAAUGCGUUCCCGGGCCUUGUACACACCGCCCGUCACACCACGAAAGUUGGUUCUACCCGAAACCAGUGAGCUAACCAGCAAUGGAGGCAGCUGUCUACGGUGGGGCUGAUGAUUGGGGUGAAGUCGUAACAAGGUAAC